This 468-nucleotide ribosomal RNA is filed under the name uncultured bacterium. RNAcentral describes it as "partial 16S ribosomal RNA". It matches the Rfam family "Bacterial small subunit ribosomal RNA", at positions 28 to 507 of the family's 1533-position model. The record is from RNAcentral.
GACGAACGCUGGCGGCGUGCUUAACACAUGCAAGUCGAACGGAAAGGCCCUGCUUUUGUGGGGUGCUCGAGUGGCGAACGGGUGAGUAACACGUGAGUAACCUGCCCUUGACUUUGGGAUAACUUCAGGAAACUGGGGCUAAUACCGGAUAGGAGCUCCUGCUGCAUGGUGGGGGUUGGAAAGUUUCGGCGGUUGGGGAUGGACUCGCGGCUUAUCAGCUUGUUGGUGGGGUAGUGGCUUACCAAGGCUUUGACGGGUAGCCGGCCUGAGAGGGUGACCGGCGACAUUGGGACUGAGAUACGGCCCAGACUCCUACGGGAGGCAGCAGUGGGGAAUAUUGCACAAUGGGCGGAAGCCUGAUGCAGCAACGCCGCGUGCGGGAUGACGGCCUUCGGGUUGUAAACCGAUUUCGCCUGUGACGAAGCGUGAGUGACGGUAAUGGGUAAAGAAGCACCGGCUAACUACGUG